ACACACCUAACCCUAAAGGGAUCUUCACAAAUGGAGCUGAUGGAAGUCCGUUUGCGUUGCGUUCCAAAAAUUAAAUUGCACAAAUAUACGUGGAGCUACAUAGAGAGCGACGCUAACAGACAUCCGUCAGCUCCGUUUGGGUAGACUUUACCUACUGUAGAUCCUUUAACCUGCUGUAGAUCCUUUAACCUGCUUUAGAUCCUUUAACCUGCUGUAGAU
This is a long non-coding RNA of Salvelinus sp. IW2-2015, 219 nucleotides long. RefSeq lists it as uncharacterized. The record is from RefSeq and is a predicted model, not a curated record. NCBI's taxonomy places the organism in Eukaryota, Metazoa, Chordata, Actinopteri, Salmoniformes, Salmonidae.